Molecule: long non-coding RNA, 266 nt
Filed under: Pan troglodytes (chimpanzee)
Lineage: Eukaryota; Metazoa; Chordata; Mammalia; Primates; Hominidae
Description: long non-coding RNA NONPTRT015025
Source: RNAcentral
CUGCACCUUCAGCUGAGGUAUCCAGGUUCUCUAAUUGGGACUGACUAGGUGGUUGGUGCAACCCACUGAGAGUGAGGAAAAGCAGGGCGAAGCAAUGGCUCACUUGGGAGCUGCAUGGCAGUACACUUUAUUUAUUUAUACGCUAAGAAUUUCCUUCAGAACAGGCACAGUGGCUCAUGUCUGUAAUCCCAGCACUUUGGGAGGCUGGGCAGGCAGAUUGCUUGAACCCAGGAGUUUGAGACUAGCCUGGGCAACAUGGUGAAAUU